AGCAGCCGCGGUAAUUCCAGCUCCAAUAGCGUAUAUUAAAGUUGUUGCAGUUAAAAAGCUCGUAGUUGAACCUCGGGAUCAAUGGAUCGGUCAUGCCAUCGGUAUGUACUGGUCUCAUUGGUUCUCACCUUCUAAGGAACCAUGAUGUCAUUCAUUUGAUGUUGUGGGGAAUUAGGACUGUUACCUUGAAAAAAUUAGAGUGUUUAAAGCAGGCUAACGCUUGAAUACAUUAGCAUGGAAUAAUGAAAUAGGACAUCGCAUUCUAUUUUGUUGGUUUCUAGGAUCGAUGUAAUGAUUAAUAGGGAUAGUUGGGGGCAUUAGUAUUCAAUUGUCAGAGGUGAAAUUCUUGGAUUUAUUGAAGACUAACUACUGCGAAAGCAUUUGCCAAGGAUGUUUUCAUUAAUCAAGAACGAAAGUUAGGGGAUCGAAGACGAUCAGAUACCGUCGUAGUCUUAACCAUAAACUAUGCCGACUAGGGAUCGGAUGAUGUUAAUUUUUAAUU
Molecule: ribosomal RNA, 502 nt
Filed under: uncultured Glomus
Lineage: Eukaryota; Fungi; Glomeromycota; Glomeromycetes; Glomerales; Glomeraceae
Description: SSU rRNA
Rfam family: Eukaryotic small subunit ribosomal RNA
Source: RNAcentral